Molecule: long non-coding RNA, 5091 nt
Organism: Acanthochromis polyacanthus (spiny chromis)
Lineage: Eukaryota; Metazoa; Chordata; Actinopteri; Pomacentridae
Exons: 6
Source: RefSeq, a predicted model, not a curated record
AACCAGACAGUCUGCAGUUUAAAGCAGCAGGAGAAGACACCGGAGAGGAGGAAAGAAAGGGAAAGAGUGUGUUAAACGACACACAGGGAGGAACAGGAAGAGGAAGGAAGUGAGAGAAGAGUAGGGGGAUUGGAUGAAGAGGUGGUGAGUGGAAGAAGAGUACGGAGGAGGAAGAAUCAAGAGAGUGGAGGCUGACUGGGAGGGGUGAAGAAGGAGGUGUAGAGAUAGAGGAAUGCAGAGAAAGAAGGGACGCUCCUGCAGAAGAUUAUGAAGGAGCUGCAUCUAUGUGAAGACUCUCGAGUUGUCGUGGAAAGUGUAGCGUGGGACCGGAUUGGACCCUCUGGAGGACCACUUUUGGCCCACAGGCCUCGUGUUGGACACCCCUGGUCGAACAUCCCUCCUACAUUUGUGACUGUGAGGGUCUAUGGUACAGGACAUGGAGCCUUCCAUCAGCGUAGAACUUCCCUCCAGAACCCUUCCAGCCUCCUUUCGGAUGCUUUUUGUGAACGGCGUCCUGCUGUUCUGUGUUUGCAGCUUACAGGGGGUUUGCAUCAUUUGGUGAAUCCUUUGAGGUUCUGGUCCUGAUUGUUGACGAGGAAACACGUCCGCCUACAUCCUGGAGAGCAUUCUUGACUUGCCGUAAAGGGAUUUUUUUCUUUUCUUUUUGCCAUUCAAAUGAUUUUUCCUGACAAGUCUACCAGCUUGUUUGCCAGCAUCUAGUUUUCCAGCGUGCACCUGUUUGUUCUGUUGUAGGAUGAGCCCAGCACUUUAUUCUAACAAACCAACUCCCUCAGACAUUGCUGCUGGAUUUUUACUUUUUUGAGCCUUGUAAUAAUUUCAUUUUGUUGCAUUUCCUUGCCAGAAAUAGACAGAAAACUCCACUUCAAUCUAAACGGCCAGUUUCAACCUACCAUGAAAGCGUUUUCUGCAUAAAUAAAGCUGAAAUGGAAUAAUUUUGUAGCAGCAAGCUACAGAUUUUAAUGUGAAAUCUAUUGUUUUAUUCCAAACUGAAUAUACUGAGUCCAAAUACAAAGUUAAAAAAAAAAAAAUUUUUUAUGUUUAUUAUGAUCAUGUCUUUACAAAUUCCAUAAUUAUUUAUUAUGGAAACAAUCACUUAUUAAUAAAAAAUGACUGGAUAUCACUAAAAUGUCAACUAAAUAACGUCUGAAUUUAAUACCAACCACCUUCUAAUGAGCUAAACAAUAAUAAAAUGAGCUGAUUCAGAAGUUGUGUUCUUUUAUGAAGUUGAGAUAAUCAUGACAGAUGUUUCUUUUUUGGCAAUAUAUCAAAUUUUAUGCGGAAAAUAACAAAUUAAAUCCCUUUCCACUCAGUUCCCCGUUACAAAAACACCUCUCCAGGCAGCGUGUUAAUUCCAGAUCACAUGACCUGCUCAUUUAGUUUCUUUUUUGGUUAUUUUCAGUCCGUUUUGUUGACAUUUUAGGUCUUUUUGUGGUCAUUUUGUGCACUUUUUUUGGCCCAUUUCAGUCUGUUUGUGAUAAUUUUAAGCGUUUUUAUGGUCAUUUUGCAACUUUUUGUAGCUAUUUUGUGUGUCUCUCGUCAUUUUGUGUCGUUAUAUGAUAAUUAGGUGUCUCACUGUGCCCUUUUGUGUUUUUAUGUGGUCAUUUUGUGUCAUUUUGUACAUUUUGUGGUCCUGUUGUGUCUUUUUGUGGUUGUUUUGUGUGUUUUUGUGCUCAUUUAGUUUCUUUUGUGACCGUUUUCAGUCUGUUUAUGGUAAUUUUACAUGUCUUGUAGUCAUUUUGUGUGUCUCUGUGGUCAUUUUGCAACUUUUUGUAGUUAUUUUGUGUGUCUCUCAUCAUUUUAUGUCUUUAUAUGAUAAUUAAGUGUCUCACUGUGCCCUUUUGUGCUUUUAUGUGGUCAUUUUGUGUCAUUUUGUACAUUUUUGUGGUCCUGUUGUGUCUUUUUGUGGUUGUUUUGUGUGUUUUUGUGCUCAUUUAGUUUCUUUUGUGACCGUUUUCAGUCUGUUUAUGGUAAUUUUACAUGUCUUGUAGUCAUUUUGUGUGUCUCUGUGGUCAUUUUGCAACUUUUUGUAGUUAUUUUGUGUGUCUCUCAUCAUUUUAUGUCUUUAUAUGAUAAUUAGGUGUCUCACUGUGCCCUUUUGUGCUUUUAUGUGGUCAUUUUGUGUCAUUUUGUACAUUUUUGUGGUCCUGUUGUGUCUUUUUGUGGUUGUUUUGUGUGUUUUUGUACUCAUUUUGUUUCUUUUGUGAUAGUUUUCAGUCUGUUUAUGGUAAUUUUACAUAUUUUGUGGUCAUUUUACAACUUUUUGUACUUAUUUUGUGUGUCUCUCGUCAGUUUGUGUCUUUAUAUGAUAAUUAUGUGUCUCAUUGAGUCAUUUUGUGUCUUUUCCAGCCUUUUUUCCUCAUUUUGUGUUUCUUAGUUUGCAGUCUGCACUAUAUUACUCAUCGUCAUAUACAAUUUAAGUGCAUCUUUUUAUCUUUAGACUAAAUUAAUCCGUGGCUGUUUUUGCUUUGAAUCUUGAACCCUUUAACUUUCUGCUGAACAGGAGAGGAGUUUUGGUGCAACAACCUGAUGUGUUUCUGACAGAAGGACAGAUACACAAUACCACAUAAUAGCCCGGGGUCAGGCUUAGGGUUGACUCGCGUCCUGUUGCAGACAGAAGGCGUACUUUGUCACCUUUGGCCCCUUUUUAGAAGCUCGCUAGCCUGUUGCUUAUCUGCAGGGCAUCUCCAGCCAAUGGCCUCAACGGACAUAGAUGAGCCAGAAAGACAGAACCGGUGGAAACUAUGAGGAAAUCUGUGACGGUGACAGAGAAAAAAGAGAUAUUGUGGGUGGACAUCUGAGCUCUCAGAGAAUGCUGCAGGUCAGGUAACAUCUGCAGAAGCUAAUUUGGCUUCAGUUAUCGGUCUGUUAAUGUUAGUUCUUGGUUGAACUUAAAAUGAUAGACUGAAACAGUUUUAUUUACUGCAUUGGUCAUGCAUCUGGUUUAUAUUAGGAAGUAAAAGAUUCCGUCUUCGUUGUGAUGAGAGAAGAGAACACACAGUCCUCCUUCUGGGCUUGGCUGACAUGAAGCUUCACAAGACUGAUCCCACAACGGAUCAUUUCAAGUUUGUGCAUUUCCCCCUAUCAAUUAUGGAACCAGGUAAUGAAUUUAGAUCUGUUUACAGGUCAACAAGUAGUAUUAGUACUUUUAAUUUGCUAAUUUUAUUGUUGUUUGUUUGUGGAGAUCAUCCAGUGUGUUUAUGUCACCACCAGUGUGACUGUUUCUGUUUUUUAAUGGGAUUUAAAUAUAUUUUCAGUGCAGAGAUGGAACACAGUUAUGAUGUAGACAACCAUAAGCAGCUCCAAAUCUGAAUUUGCUAAACAAAAGUAAAAUGUUCUACAGAAUGUCACAAUGGAAGCAACAUGGAAGAAAAAGAUAGAAGUGAAAACAUGGUGAACAUAGAGAGCCCUCUAGUGUUACAUUAACGUUACUGCACGCAGAUCACAGCGAUGAGGCUGAAAACCGAACUAACAAAGUGAUUAAUGACAAUAUUUAGCAUCAAUUAUAAGGGGUGGAGAAAUAACUGGUGCAAUCUCUGUGAAAUUUAGAGUUUGGGCCUGAAAGAAGAAAAAGUAGAAGAAGAAGAAGUAGAAGAAGAAGGAGGAGGAGGAGGAGAAGAAGAAGAAGAUGAAGAAGAAGAAAAAGUAGAAGAAGAAAGAGGAGGAGGAGGAGGAGGAGGAAGAGAAGAAGAAUGAGAUGAUGAAGAAGAAGAAAACAGAGGAAGAGAACAAGAAGAAUAAGAAGGAGGAGGAGAAGAAGAAGAUAAAUGGAGCAGAUCGAGAUGAAGAAUGUAGAACAAUGCGAACAAUACAUAAAGAGAAGACGGAGAGAAAGGUGGGAUCAGGAUGAAGAGAGAAGGAGAUGGAAGUCUGAAAAGAAAAGGAAAAAGAAAGAUGUUGAUGAUGGUGGACCGACCAAAGAACAGCAAAAGGAUGAAGAAAAAGAAAGAAGAGAAUGAUGAGAAGAGGACGGAUAAAAGCUAAAUCUCAGUCCUCUCCUGAAGGCGGAGAACUCCUGGACCAGAACAAACGGAUCUGAUGUGACGUCGCUGAUGUAGAACGUCGCUCGAGCUGAUCUUGAAGCUUCGAUGAGAAACUGAAAGCAUCACAACCAUGAAACAACACAUUUGGAAUCUUACGGCCUAUAUCCACACUGACUGACUCUGUUGCUGUAAAGGAGCUCUUCCUGGGGAUGUUGAAAUGUUCAGCGCUGAUGACAAACACGAGCCCUCUGAAAUAUAUUCUGCUGCUGUAUGUUCUGUCCCAGCCCUGUAUUUUAGAUGCUAAAUUGUGCCUAUAUGAUGAGAAGGGAAAGAGCCCGGCUGAAAAACUGUUUCCUCCUCUCUGAUUGGACGAUGGGCUUGUUGGGAUGUAUGGAGGCUCAAAAAUAUACAACUCUCUGGGUUGUUUGUCAGAGAAAGAUCUCGCUUACAUGUAAAUAAACUGCUAUCUUUAAGUCUGUGUACUUUAUUGCUAUUAAAUCUGACUGUGAUCUUUCCCUAAACAUAAUCAAGUCCUGUUAGUGUCAAAUAUAACCAUAAAACAGGCGAAUGCCUCAUGAAUUAUCAGUGUUUUAAAGUAAACUAAAUGUAGUUUCAACUACAGAACACAUUUUCCGUUACAGUUCAGUUGUGUGGGAACGUCGUUUGUGGGAGUCGGGCUUCAUAUUUUGAUGUGCAGCACACAACACAUGGUUCACAGGUGUGAGCUUCAUUCCAGUGAGGCUGCUCAAAGCCAGCUGCUGUGCUGCAAAAUGGUCCGCUUUGACAACACAGAUCCACAUUAAAUAAUGUACACAACUGUUAAAAGUUUGGGGUCAUCCAGAUAAUUCCAUGUUUUCCAUAAAACUCCCACUUUUAUCCAUGUGCUAACAGAACUGCACAAGGGUUUUCUAACCAUCAAUGAGCCUUUCAACACCAUUAGCUAACACAAUGUAGCAUUAGAACACAGGAGUGAUGGCUGCUGGAAAUGUUCCUCUGUACCCCGAUGGAGAUAUUCCAUUAAACAUCAGCUGUUUACAGCUAGAACAGUCAUUUACCACAUUAACAAUGUCCACACUGGAUUUAUCAUUCA